AGGGUUUGAUCAUGGCUCAGAUUGAACGCUGGCGGCAGGCCUAACACAUGCAAGUCGAGCGGAUGACAGGAGCUUGCUCCUGAAUUCAGCGGCGGACGGGUGAGUAAUGCCUAGGAAUCUGCCUGGUAGUGGGGGACAACGUUUCGAAAGGAACGCUAAUACCGCAUACGUCCUACGGGAGAAAGCAGGGGACCUUCGGGCCUUGCGCUAUCAGAUGAGCCUAGGUCGGAUUAGCUAGUUGGUGAGGUAAUGGCUCACCAAGGCGACGAUCCGUAACUGGUCUGAGAGGAUGAUCAGUCACACUGGAACUGAGACACGGUCCAGACUCCUACGGGAGGCAGCAGUGGGGAAUAUUGGACAAUGGGCGAAAGCCUGAUCCAGCCAUGCCGCGUGUGUGAAGAAGGUCUUCGGAUUGUAAAGCACUUUAAGUUGGGAGGAAGGGCAUUAACCUAAUACGUUAGUGUUUUGACGUUACCGACAGAAUAAGCACCGGCUAACUCUGUGCCAGCAGCCGCGGUAAUACAGAGGGUGCAAGCGUUAAUCGGAAUUACUGGGCGUAAAGCGCGCGUAGGUGGUUUGUUAAGUUGGAUGUGAAAGCCCCGGGCUCAACCUGGGAACUGCAUUCAAAACUGACAAGCUAGAGUAUGGUAGAGGGUGGUGGAAUUUCCUGUGUAGCGGUGAAAUGCGUAGAUAUAGGAAGGAACACCAGUGGCGAAGGCGACCACCUGGACUGAUACUGACACUGAGGUGCGAAAGCGUGGGGAGCAAACAGGAUUAGAUACCCUGGUAGUCCACGCCGUAACGAUGUCAACUAGCCGUUGGGAGCCUUGAGCUCUUAGUGGCGCAGCUACGCAUUAAUUGACCGCCUGGGGAGUACGGCCGCAAGGUUAAAACUCAAUUGAAUUGAAGGGGGCCCGCACAAGCGUGGAGCAUGUGGAUUAAUUCGAA
This 948-nucleotide ribosomal RNA is filed under the name uncultured Pseudomonas sp. Its description in RNAcentral is "bacterial SSU rRNA". It matches the Rfam family "Bacterial small subunit ribosomal RNA", at positions 8 to 955 of the family's 1533-position model. The record is from RNAcentral. Lineage: Bacteria; Pseudomonadati; Pseudomonadota; Gammaproteobacteria; Pseudomonadales; Pseudomonadaceae.